RNAcentral lists this non-coding RNA (24 nucleotides) under Arabidopsis thaliana (thale cress). Lineage: Eukaryota; Viridiplantae; Streptophyta; Magnoliopsida; Brassicales; Brassicaceae. The record is from RNAcentral.
UUCUGACAACAACGAGCUGAUGGA